UUUUUUUUUUUUUUUCUUUUGUUUUGUUUUGUUUUGUUUUUUGUUUUUUUGUUUUUUUGUUGUUGUUUUUUUUUUUUUUUAAUGAAAGACCCUGAAGGUUUCAGCACCUGAACAAAUUAUAAAACUUCUGUCUUCCCUGAGGGUCAGGGGGCCUAUUCUGUUCAAAUUGCUGGGGUUCAUGCUUUUGCCAUAUGGCAAAGGCUCAGAGUUGAAUCCUUCAAUGACUGUAGGGUAAACUACCAUUGUCAUUCAGCACAACUGUCUAUACACACAUAUGGACUCUGCAGUGAAGCUUCUAUCUGGCUUAUAUGCUGCCCUGCUCAUAUUACACAUUUCAUGGCUGGCAUCAGGCUGUGACCAGAAGACAAAAGAAAUUAAAAUGGCAGUAUUCUUUUAUUUUUCUGUUCCCAUUCUAGUGCCCUGGCCUUGACAGAAAUAAAUGGUUAUAACAGACCUUGAAACAACAAAUUUCAUAGCCUUGGGUUGGUUUCUUAUGAAUUAUUGUCUUCAUUGAGGAUGUCUUUAUAUUUCCUUUUAAUUAUUUUUCUACAAGAAUAUGCAAGGACUAAUUUGGAAGGAGAGGAUGGGAGCUGCUGUGUGUGUACAUGGAUAUGUACACAUUCUCUCUAAAGGUAGUGUAAAAUUUGUGAUUAGUUGUUCAGAUUAGUCAUGUUUCAGAUUCCCAGUCAAAAUUUCAAAGGGUUUUUUGCUAGUCACAGCAAUUUCACAAUUCCCACCCCUCUUCCCCCAAUGUUCCUGACACUGUUGUCUGGCAGCAGCCUCUGAUAAGGAUUGACUGGAGAUAGAAGAAGGCUGAGAGCUCCAAAAGGCAUACAAGUCAGCACAGGACAGUUGGUUUGGACUUCUUCACUGCCAGUGUUGUGGCCCAGGAGUGACAUCCCUUCACAUUGCAUGCACAGAGCAACACCAAGCAACAGGCAGAAAACCCAAAUCUUAUUGCCAGCCGUCUGAAUUUCUGUGAAUACACAAGCAUGAGGUGCAUGAGGUGACAUGCUGGAGUGGGUACCUGUGAGUGAGGGUUCUGUGACUACUGGGCCAAAACAGGAAGGGUACUGCUCCAAAAUACCGCCUUCAUCAGGUCUGAUUUUCUAAAUUCUCUAUAGGACUGGAGUGGCACUGCAGAGGUCUGAGGUAGAUUCACAGGGUAAAGGAUAGCUGGCAUCCUGUCUAAUAAGUCAUUUAAUACUUCUCCUGGUCUAAAUACAACUCUCCUGUGUUGAAUCAUCCUCUCUUGUAGUAUUUGUGAGACUAUGAGAAGACAUUGCUAAGAUUCCUUAAGACAGUACAUUUUUAAAUUUCAUCUUCUGUAAGGAGUGUAGAGAUAGAGUGGAAACACUUGAACUUUUUCCCCACCGUGAUGUCAUGAAGACGAGGGAUAAUGCUGGUGCCAAUGGAAUGUGAAGCCCCUAUCAUGGCACAGAAGACCAAACCAAUGAAAAUCCCAGUCAUACAUAAUGCUUUAUAUCUGAUUUUUCACUGUAAAUGUCAUAUAAAGAAAGGAUCUCUCUGAUAUUUCAAGGAGCAGCAAAGUCUGUGAUGACAUGUUGGUAUCAAGAUUUGCAUAUUUUUUAUAGAUAAGCUGUCAAAAUGUAUGUUGUCAAUUUCACCUUAUACUCAGAAUUUAAUGAUGCACAUAAAGGACAGAAAAUCUUUAAUAUUAAUAUUAAUAUGAUUUUAGAUUAUAAGACUUCAUUGUGGAUAUCAAUCACCUAACCCUUAAGGACAUGCCACUCAAGCUGAUAGAGUUUAUAGAAAAUUAAUGUGAUCCAUUCUGUAUGAUCUAUUGCAGGAUGGGGGGCUCAGGGGGUGGUACGGGGAGUAGGCAGCGGGUUGGCCAUCCUGAGUUUGCAUUCCUUUCUUGGGUAUGUUCAGCCCUUUGAGUAGAUUAACUCUGCCUGACCUGGGACUCAAUUUGCUGUCUUUCAUGUAGCUGUUGAGGAGCUGUGGAACCUGUAACCCGAGGGAGAGUUUGCAGCUUUGCCGAUGGCCCCCUGCUGGGCUACUGCCUGCAUAAGGAGGUUGUAUUUUAUCAGCAAGAGGUGCUCUUGGAGAAAUAUUUCACUUCCACUUGCUACUUAAUAGCUUGAAAGGGGAUGGGUAUUACAGCUUCCAAGAAUCUAAAGGGGAAAGGAAUACAGGAAAGUAGGUGAGAUGGCAAGCUACUCUUAUGAUUCAUACCCCUAUAAGAAGAGCAUUGAGGUUGACAGGUUUCUUAAACUUGAUUGUACUGACAUUCUGGUAAAAUCACCCUGAUAUUUACAGAGAGGCUUUGAAAAGCAGUUACAAGCUUUGGUUGGGGUUAUUUUUGGUAUCUUCUUCCUCGUGUCAGAACAGACUCGUUCAUUUAAGGCACUACCAAAUCAACAUUCUUACACCUUCUUUGCAAGGGCAGAAGCUUCCAGAUAGAGUUCAGAGAGGAAUUUGGAGGUUUUGAUCUUUUACUUCAGUAAAAGAGCUACUACUGCUGUAGUUCAUUACAUUUGAUACCAGCAGCUCCAGUGGAGUACACGUGCAGGACCCUUAGGAGAAGACAAAACUUGGACGAGGCUGCAAAAAUUAGUUCUGUUUUCUUUUUGGGAAGGACAGAACAAGACCAUUGCACACUCUUCCUAGCAAUUCUUCUAUGACAAGAAGAAAUAUUUUGUGGGUGAAUAGAACUAGGAUCAGUUUCAAGCUCAGUCACAGGUGGGAAAAAAUCUAAAUAUCCUAACAAAAUGGUGAUCCUUCUUGUGUGCAACUCUGCUGUCCUGCCCUUCCUUUGCAAGCCUUAUUUAUGUUCAGACUGCAGCUGUGCUGGUUCAGGGCUUUCAUCACAAGUACACACAACACAUGUGUGUAGCCACACAAUCUUAUUUUAAAUGGCUAGUGAUGGUGCAUCAUGUCUGGUUAUCUCCCCAACCCUCAUCUUCUCUGACAUUGGUUCCCAGGGAGUGCAGCAUUAAGCUUGCUGGUGAAAUCAUGCCUUCAGCUUUCUGCAGUGUUUCUGGGUCAAUUUUCUUGUUUGGGCCAAGAAGAAGUCAUACAAAUUUAAAAAUUAAGGGUUUUGUUUCAGUCCCUGAAAUUAAGUAGCUGACACUAUUUGGGACUUUAGGAAGCAAAACCCUGAUACCCACCUUUUGUAUUAUCUUCUAAGCUGUGAGUUCUGAGAGACACUGAAAUUUGUAGGGAGACCCUGGGAUCUGACACCAUGGUGGGAUGGGGGAGAAGGAACUGGAAACUACCUUGUUAAUAAUAUUCCCACAAGCAGAGAAUAAUAAGGUGAAAGUUCAAGCAUGAAAUGAAGACAACACUAAUCUGUUCCCUUUAUCCACUUCACAAUACCUGCAAGAAAGAGGUAGGGGAGCUCUUAUAUUUAGCACGUGAAAGUACCAUGAUGCUCUGGCAACACAGAUUGGGUCAAUGUAGUUAGUAACUGCUGGAGUUUAUACAUAUACAUACUCCUCUUAUCUCUGAAAAAGACAGUAUGCACAGGCUCAAUUAAAAAAAAAAAAAAAAAAAAAA
RNAcentral lists this long non-coding RNA (3522 nucleotides) under Taeniopygia guttata (zebra finch). RNAcentral describes it as "lncRNA (ENSTGUG00000019336.1)". The record is from RNAcentral. Lineage: Eukaryota; Metazoa; Chordata; Aves; Passeriformes; Estrildidae.